UUUACUAUUUCACUCACCAAAACAGGGCUGUAAAUUUUGAGCGAGAAAGUCCCACAUCGUUUGAAUACCUUAUUAGCUAAGAGUUUAUAAUUCUCCAGCCUUGGCACAACGUUGUCUCUUUGGGACAUCCGAUAAAAUUGGAACGAUACAGAGAAGAUUAGCAUGGCUCCUGCGCAAGGAUGACACGCACAAAUCGAGAAAUGGGAUCUCCAAUGAAGAAGUGCUUUAUAAACAAUACAAGCAGCUGCUGGUCUGUUUUUCUCAAACCGCUUAUCUUCAGCGAGACACUUGAGCAGUGCAUCAUGACUUUCCUGUUUAUAAGAGAUGGAAAUUCAACUUCAGGGAUUGGUUCAACUUUUUCUGGAUGAACUUUCUGCUCUAAAGAAGCUGCUGAAUGGUCUGUUUCUAUUUUCUCUGGAUGGACUUUCUGCUCUAA
Vigna unguiculata (cowpea) is the source of this 436-nucleotide long non-coding RNA. NCBI's taxonomy places the organism in Eukaryota, Viridiplantae, Streptophyta, Magnoliopsida, Fabales, Fabaceae. The record is from RefSeq and is a predicted model, not a curated record.